UACGGAGGGUGCAAGCGUUAUCCGGAUUCACUGGGUUUAAAGGGUGCGUAGGUGGUAAUGUAAGUCAGUGGUGAAAUCUCCGUGCUUAACAUGGAAACUGCCAUUGAUACUAUGUUUCUUGAAUUUUCUGGAGGUCAGCGGAAUAUGUCAUGUAGCGGUGAAAUGCUUAGAUAUGACAUAGAACACCAAUUGCGAAGGCAGCUGACUACAGGGAUAUUGACACUGAGGCACGAAAGCGUGGGGAUCAAACAGG
Molecule: ribosomal RNA, 253 nt
Filed under: uncultured bacterium
Lineage: Bacteria
Description: partial 16S ribosomal RNA
Rfam family: Bacterial small subunit ribosomal RNA
Source: RNAcentral